UCUUGAGAGCGGCGGACGGGUGAGUAAUGCCUAGGAAUCUGCCUGGUAGUGGGGGAUAACGUUCGGAAACGGACGCUAAUACCGCAUACGUCCUACGGGAGAAAGCAGGGGACCUUCGGGCCUUGCGCUAUCAGAUGAGCCUAGGUCGGAUUAGCUAGUUGGUGGGGUAAUGGCUCACCAAGGCGACGAUCCGUAACUGGUCUGAGAGGAUGAUCAGUCACACUGGAACUGAGACACGGUCCAGACUCCUACGGGAGGCAGCAGUGGGGAAUAUUGGACAAUGGGCGAAAGCCUGAUCCAGCCAUGCCGCGUGUGUGAAGAAGGUCUUCGGAUUGUAAAGCACUUUAAGUUGGGAGGAAGGGCAGUAAAUUAAUACUUUGCUGUUUUGACGUUACCGACAGAAUAAGCACCGGCUAACUCUGUGCCAGCAGCCGCGGUAAUACAGAGGGUGCAAGCGUUAAUCGGAAUUACUGGGCGUAAAGCGCGCGUAGGUGGUUCGU
This 500-nucleotide ribosomal RNA is filed under the name Pseudomonas sp. RNAcentral's name for it is "bacterial SSU rRNA". It matches the Rfam family "Bacterial small subunit ribosomal RNA", at positions 87 to 583 of the family's 1533-position model. Lineage: Bacteria; Pseudomonadati; Pseudomonadota; Gammaproteobacteria; Pseudomonadales; Pseudomonadaceae. The record is from RNAcentral.